This is a non-coding RNA of Apis mellifera (honey bee), 68 nucleotides long. NCBI's taxonomy places the organism in Eukaryota, Metazoa, Arthropoda, Insecta, Hymenoptera, Apidae. The record is from Rfam.
UGGUUCAAGUGGAGAAGUGGUCUUUACGCUUUGAAUUAAAGUGAGAUUCACUCCUCCAACUUACUCCU